This 355-nucleotide ribosomal RNA is filed under the name uncultured soil bacterium. RNAcentral's name for it is "bacterial SSU rRNA". It matches the Rfam family "Bacterial small subunit ribosomal RNA", at positions 25 to 408 of the family's 1533-position model. The record is from RNAcentral.
CAGGAUAAACGUUGGCGGCGUGCCUAACGCAUGCAAGUCGCACGAGGGCUUCGGCCCUAGUGGCGGACGGGUGAGUAACACGUAGGAACCUGCCCGGAAGUGGGGGACAACUUCCCGAAAGGGAAGCUAAUACCGCAUACGGUCUACGGACCAAAGCUUCGGCGCUUCCGGAGGGGCCUGCGGUGGAUUAGCUAGUUGGUGGGGUAACGCCUACCAAGGCGACGAUCCAUAGCUGGUCUGAGAGGAUGAUCAGCCACACUGGGACUGAGACACGGCCCAGACUCCUACGGGAGGCAGCAGCGAGGAAUUUUGCACAAUACGACGAAAGUCGGAUGCAGCAACGCCGCGUGGCGGG